RNAcentral lists this ribosomal RNA (254 nucleotides) under uncultured bacterium. Its description in RNAcentral is "partial 16S ribosomal RNA". It matches the Rfam family "Bacterial small subunit ribosomal RNA", at positions 524 to 776 of the family's 1533-position model. The record is from RNAcentral.
UACGUAGGGUGCGAGCGUUGUCCGGAAUUAUUGGGCGUAAAGAGCUCGUAGGCGGUCUGUCGCGUCGAUCGUGAAAACUUGGGGCUUAACCCUGAGCUUGCGGUCGAUACGGGCAUGACUGGAGUUCGGCAGGGGAGACUGGAAUUCCAGGUGUAGCGGUGAAAUGCGUAGAUAUCUGGAGGAACACCGGUGGCGAAGGCGGCAUCCUGGACCGAAAUUGACGCUGAGGCGCGAAAGCCAGGGGAGCAAACGGG